RNAcentral lists this ribosomal RNA (636 nucleotides) under Verminephrobacter eiseniae. Its description in RNAcentral is "bacterial SSU rRNA". It matches the Rfam family "Bacterial small subunit ribosomal RNA", at positions 87 to 719 of the family's 1533-position model. Lineage: Bacteria; Pseudomonadati; Pseudomonadota; Betaproteobacteria; Burkholderiales; Comamonadaceae. The record is from RNAcentral.
GCUGACGAGUGGCGAACGGGUGAGUAAGACAUCGGAACGUGCCCGAUCGAGGGGGAUAACGAAGCGAAAGCUUUGCUAAUACCGCAUAAGAUCCGAGGAUGAAAGCAGGGGACCGCAAGGCCUUGCGCGGACGGAGCGGCCGAUGGCAGAUUAGGUAGUUGGUGGGAUAAAAGCCUACCAAGCCGACGAUCUGUAGCUGGUCUGAGAGGACGACCAGCCACACUGGGACUGAGACACGGCCCAGACUCCUACGGGAGGCAGCAGUGGGGAAUUUUGGACAAUGGGCGCAAGCCUGAUCCAGCCAUGCCGCGUGCAGGAUGAAGGCCCUCGGGUUGUAAACUGCUUUUGUACGGAACGAAAAGGCCCUGGUGAACAGCUGGGGUUGCUGACGGUACCGUAAGAAUAAGCACCGGCUAACUACGUGCCAGCAGCCGCGGUAAUACGUAGGGUGCGAGCGUUAAUCGGAAUUACUGGGCGUAAAGCGUGCGCAGGCGGACAUGCAAGACAGAUGUGAAAUCCCCGGGCUCAACCUGGGAACUGCAUAUGUGACUGUAUGACUGGAGUACGGCAGAGGGGGAUGGAAUUCCGCGUGUAGCAGUGAAAUGCGUAGAUAUGCGGAGGAACACCGAUGGCGAA